UUGGACAUGAGGAAGAAUUUCUCCACAUAAAGUGUGAUUAGACGUUGGAACGGGCUGCUCAGGGAGGUGUUGAAGGAAAGACGGGACGUGGCGCUGGUGUCAGGGCGCUGGUGCCGGGCCCCAGGCUGGACUCGCUGGCCGUGAGGGUGUUCGGCACAGGUUGGACUCGCUGGCCAUGAGGUGUUUAGCACAGGUCAGACCCGCUGGCCAUGAGGAGUGACUGAGUCCAGCUGGAAGGUGACAGAGAUGGAGCCAAGCUCCCAGACAGGCAGGAAGGGUGCUGAAGGAGAAGUGUUGAUGAAGAAAAGCUGAUCGAGCUGCAGAAUCCAGAUCAGUGCAGAGGCAUGAGAUGUUAUAGAGUUAACAGCCAUGAAGAAAUAUUUUGCACCUGCUGUGUGGGAAGAGGAAUCCUAAGAGUGAAUAAAAUCAAUCCACGACCUUGUGAUUUAUACAGUUCUUAAUCCUAGGUUUGAGAAUGGUACCUAACAAUGCUUGUACCUUGCCAAACUUUUGAACCAUGGAAUUACAAAUACAUUUCAAGGAUUAAGUUACAGAUUAUUUCAGACCUCUCCACAGAAAGAGCUUCAGAAAAGAAGCUGUAAAUUUUACAGAUUAACAGUUGCAUUCAGCAUAUUUUGGACAUGUUUUUCCCAGGUCAUUGUAUAGGGAGCCCUUUUAGUAAGAACCCAGGGAAUGUUGUUUGAUUUUUUAUAUAUAACACAUGACAAACAGUUCCCUUUUGCAGUUACAAAAUUACAUGAUGUGAUACAAGAUGCAUCAAUUUGCUCUUACAAACUUUGCCUCUUGAACUGUUCCAGAGCUGGUCUGGUAUUUACUCACUUUUUGUUCUCUCUGGCUUUACUGGCCUCAGAGUAUAAGUGUUCUUAUCCCUCAGUUCCUUAUAACAUUACAGAAUUUGAAAUUAUUCUGGUUUAUUCCCCAUUAGAACAGAUCAGCCUGUACUGAUUUUUGCCAGCAGAGCUUGAAUAGCAUAUUCUGAGUAUGGGCACUAUCAUAGUUUGUCUCACUUGCAUUAAUGGUCCUUAGAAAUAACUGUGUUUAAAGUAAUAACUCUUGCAUUCUUUUUCCUAAUGUUUUUUGAGAUGGCACAUGCCUUUUAAUUUGUUUUAUUGCAUUUUAAGGCAGUGCCAGCUUCAUCUUUAGUGUCACUGCACAAAAGCUUCCUAAACCCCCUGGGGCUUGUGGUUGUGUAAAAGGUACAGGUGAGUGGCAUCAGCUGUGCUCAUCUCUCUGAACUGUCACCAUGAAGUGUCCAGGUAACAGUGGAUUAUUUUGUCCUCAUUUUGAAAUAGAAAGAAGAAAAAAAAAUUGAGUUCCCACCUCUGUGGAAGGUCAAGUCUCUAUUUUAUGUAUACUUGGGAUGUCUCUGAUUUCCAGAAUUUAAGCUAUGUGAAAUAAUACAGGAAAGGGAACUUUGUUCCUCUCUUGUCACCUUCUCAAGAUUUAUUGGGUCAGAGAGCAGAAAGUUUUUUACCUUGCUACUUUAUACAUUGGUCUGUGAACAGUUGGACUUUUUUUGAGAAAGUCUGUCUAGUAAACAAAAUACAAGCACGUAAAAUACAGAUAUGUAAUCUUAAUAUUUCUGAAAUCUUGUGCAAAUAAUGAAAACAGAAUAUAUACCUCCUGUCAGAGACAGUGAAAAAGGCUAAGUAUUGUGAGACUUAAAAAUUCGGGUGACCUUGUGGUAGACCAGGACUAGGGAGGAGCUCAUCUUGAUUCCUUUAUAGGCUCCCUGAGGGGCUUUGAGCAAAAUAGUUCAGAGCCCCAGUUUUGUCUCAGGAGUGUUUCCUUUCCCUACUUCCCUGCCUGGUUUGAUAGACUGAACCCCCUUUCAAGCUCUCAGGGUUUCAGGGCUCUCAGUGUGUAUUGGCAGUGAGACAGUGGAGUUCUGAUCAGCUCCUUCCAGCUUUACCAACAAUCACUAAGCAGUGGUCCUAACAUAUUUGGGAUUUGGAUUUGUCCAAUAGAACACUGAGCUCCUGAAACUGGGCAGCAGUUUCUGAGCAAAGCCACAUGGGUACAGGUCUCUGGCUGACAUCAGCCAGCUGCAUUCUUUCCACAUCAUUUCAAGAGCUAUAAAUAUAAGGAAGAAAAUCAACAAAGACCCCAUAUCAGAAAAACUGAUUUGUCCUUUUCCUCUCCACCGGAAACAUGAAGCUUGCAUUGUGACAGAGAGCUGGAACAGAGCACAGCAUUGAUAAAUUGAGCAGAUUUGCAGUGCAAUGUUGUCCUGCCAAUACCUGGGUGGUAUUUUUAAAUAAUAUGGAAAAUAAUAUUUACUCUUGCUUACAUUCUUAUAUAGACUCCAUCAGAAUGACCUCCAGUGGGAUUUCACAACUCCUAAAUUAUUUAAGAGGGAGUGUCCUGAGUGUGAAACACAAGGUUUUCUUAUAUACUGUGUAUUAAUACUGCUAUAGGGGCAACAAAAACCCACAGCAAAUGAAAAUCUUUUCUAUGAAGAGUUCGUGAAGCACUCCUGUUGCUCAUGCCUCACCUGACAUUUGCAGAUUUGGUUGUUUAAUUUUUUUAGUUACCUAAACUGAGCAAUAGGGAUUAUACUUUAUUCUUCCCUCCCCCCGCCCCGCAUUCAUCUCCAGUUGUAUUAACUAAAAAUGUACCUCAGUUAUGUCAGCGAAGAUGAUGAAAAAUUGCUUUUCAACUGGUGUUGCCAUAACCACAAAGUAAACACAUCAAAAGGAAGUAUUGAGUUUUCUGGAUCUCUGCUCUUUUCAACCUUGUGUUUAUUAUUAGUAUUUU
Passer domesticus (house sparrow) is the source of this 2778-nucleotide long non-coding RNA. RefSeq lists it as uncharacterized. Lineage: Eukaryota; Metazoa; Chordata; Aves; Passeriformes; Passeridae. The record is from RefSeq and is a predicted model, not a curated record. The transcript is spliced from 4 exons.